This 31-nucleotide non-coding RNA is filed under the name Homo sapiens (human). Lineage: Eukaryota; Metazoa; Chordata; Mammalia; Primates; Hominidae. The record is from RNAcentral.
UNCACCUGUCAUGAGAGUGUUCACUGCCUGC